RNAcentral lists this ribosomal RNA (647 nucleotides) under uncultured Clostridium sp. RNAcentral describes it as "bacterial SSU rRNA". It matches the Rfam family "Bacterial small subunit ribosomal RNA", at positions 60 to 707 of the family's 1533-position model. The record is from RNAcentral. Lineage: Bacteria; Bacillati; Bacillota; Clostridia; Eubacteriales; Clostridiaceae.
AGUCGAACGAGAAGGUUUUGAUGGAUCCUUCGGGUGACAUUAGAACUGGAAAGUGGCGAACGGGUGAGUAACGCGUGGGUAACCUGCCCUAUGGAAAGGAAUAGCCUCGGGAAACUGGGAGUAAAGCCUUAUAUUAUGGUUUUGUCGCAUGGCAAGAUCAUGAAAACUCCGGUGCCAUAGGAUGGACCCGCGUCCCAUUAGCUAGUUGGUGAGAUAACAGCCCACCAAGGCGACGAUGGGUAACCGGUCUGAGAGGGCGAACGGUCACACUGGAACUGAGACACGGUCCAGACUCCUACGGGAGGCAGCAGUGGGGAAUAUUGCGCAAUGGGGGCAACCCUGACGCAGCAAUACCGCGUGAGUGAAGAAGGUUUUCGGAUCGUAAAGCUCUGUUAUUGGGGAAGAAGAAUGACGGUACCCAAUGAGGAAGUCCCGGCUAACUACGUGCCAGCAGCCGCGGUAAUACGUAGGGGACAAGCGUUGUCCGGAAUGACUGGGCGUAAAGGGCGCGUAGGCGGUCUAUUAAGUCUGGUGUGAAAGGUACCGGCUCAACCGGUGAAGUGCAUUGGAAACUGGUAGACUUGAGUAUUGGAGAGGCAAGUGGAAUUCCUAGUGUAGCGGUGAAAUGCGUAGAUAUUAGGAGGAAC